RNAcentral lists this ribosomal RNA (450 nucleotides) under grassland soil clone sl1_112. RNAcentral describes it as "bacterial SSU rRNA". It matches the Rfam family "Bacterial small subunit ribosomal RNA", at positions 50 to 490 of the family's 1533-position model. The record is from RNAcentral.
AACACAUGCAAGUCGAGCGGAAAGGCUCUUCGGAGUACUCGAGCGGCGAACGGGUGAGUAACACGUGGGUAAUCAACCCCUGACAUCGGGAUACCCCCAGGAAACCCGGAUCAAUACCGAAUAAGGUGCGGGAGUCGCUGGACGCCGUACCAAAGGUAGCUUCGGCCUCCGGUCAGGGACGAGCCCGCGGCCCAUUAGCUUGUUGGUGAGGUAACGGCUCACCAAGGCGACGAUGGGUAGCUGGUCUGAGAGGACGAUCAGCCACACUGGGACUGAGACACGGCCCAGACUCCUACGGGAGGCAGCAGUGGGGAAUAUUGCGCAAUGGGCGAAAGCCUGACGCAGCAACGCCGCGUGCGGGAAGAAGGCUCUCGGGUCGUAAACCGCUUUCAGCAGGGACGAAGCUUCCGGGGUUAAUAGCCUACGGGGUGACGGUACCUGCAGAAGAAG